GAUGAACGCUGGCGGCGUGCCUAAUACAUGCAAGUCGAGCGAACGGACGAGAAGUUCGCUUCUCUGAUGUUAGCGGCGGACGGGUGAGUAACACGUGGAUAACCUACCUAUAAGACUGGGAUAACUUCGGGAAACCGGAGCUAAUACCGGAUGAUAUUUUGAACCGCAUGGUUCAAAAGAGAAAGAGGGUCUUGCUGACCCUAAGAGAUGGAUCCGCGCUGCAUUAGCUAGUUGGUAAGGUAACGGCUUACCAAGGCAACGAUGCAUAGCCGACCUGAGAGGGUGAUCGGCCACACUGGAACUGAGACACGGUCCAGACUCCUACGGGAGGCAGCAGUAGGGAAUCUUCCGCAAUGGGCGAAAGCCUGACGGAGCAACGCCGCGUGAGUGAUGAAGGUCUUCGGAUCGUAAAACUCUGUUAUUAGGGAAGAACAUAUGUGUAAGUAACUGUGCACAUCUUGACGGUACCUAAUCAGAAAGCCACGGCUAACUACGUG
Molecule: ribosomal RNA, 497 nt
Filed under: uncultured bacterium
Lineage: Bacteria
Description: partial 16S ribosomal RNA
Rfam family: Bacterial small subunit ribosomal RNA
Source: RNAcentral